ACGGGUGCGGAACACGUACACAACCUUCCUUUAAGUGGGGGAUAGCCCGGCGAAAGCCGGAUUAAUACCCCGUAACAUAUUGAAUAGGCAUCUAUUUAAUAUUAAAGCUCCGGCGCUUAAUGAUGGGUGUGCGCCUGAUUAGGUAGUUGGCGGGGUAACGGCCCACCAAGCCUGCGAUCAGUAACUGGUGUGAGAGCACGACCAGUCACACGGGCACUGAGACACGGGCCCGACUCCUACGGGAGGCAGCAGUAAGGAAUAUUGGUCAAUGGACGCAAGUCUGAACCAGCCAUGCCGCGUGGAGGGUGAAGGUCCUCUGGAUUGUAAACUUCUUUUAUCUGGGACGAAAAAGGGUCUUUCUAGAUCAACUGACGGUACCAGAUGAAUAAGCACCGGCUAACUCCGUGCCAGCAGCCGCGGUAAUACGGAGGGUGCAAGCGUUAUCCGGAUUCACUGGGUUUAAAGGGUGCGUAGGUGGGUCUGUAAGUCAGUGGUGAAAUCUCCGAGCUUAACUUGGAAACUGCCAUUGAUACUAUAGAUCUUGAAUAUUGUGGAGGUCAGCGGAAUAUGUCAUGUA
Molecule: ribosomal RNA, 577 nt
Filed under: uncultured Chitinophagaceae bacterium
Lineage: Bacteria; Pseudomonadati; Bacteroidota; Chitinophagia; Chitinophagales; Chitinophagaceae
Description: bacterial SSU rRNA
Rfam family: Bacterial small subunit ribosomal RNA
Source: RNAcentral